GAUCAUGGCUCAGGAUGAACGCUAGCGGCAGGCUAACACAUGCAAGUCGAGGGGCAGCGGGAUGUAGCAAUACAUUGCCGGCGACCGGCGGAUGGGUGCGUAACGCGUAUGCAACCUACCUUAUACAGGGGAAUAACCUUUCGAAAGGGAGACUAACACCCCAUAGUAUUGAUUUAAGGCAUCUUAGAUUAAUUAAAUAUUUAUAGGUAUAAGAUGGGCAUGCGUAUGAUUAGCUAGUUGGUAAGGUAACGGCUUACCAAGGCGACGAUCAUUAGGGGUUCUGAGAGGAAGGUCCCCCACACUGGUACUGAGACACGGACCAGACUCCUACGGGAGGCAGCAGUGAGGAAUAUUGGUCAAUGGGCGCAAGCCUGAACCAGCCAUGCCGCGUGCAAGGAAGACGGCCUUAUGGGUUGUAAACUGCUUUUACAUAAGACUAACCGUAUAUUUGCGAAUAUACCUGAAUGUAUUAUGAGAAUAAGGAUCGGCUAACUCCGUGCCAGCCGCCGC
This 510-nucleotide ribosomal RNA is filed under the name uncultured bacterium. RNAcentral's name for it is "bacterial SSU rRNA". It matches the Rfam family "Bacterial small subunit ribosomal RNA", at positions 15 to 518 of the family's 1533-position model. The record is from RNAcentral.